RNAcentral lists this ribosomal RNA (251 nucleotides) under uncultured bacterium. RNAcentral's name for it is "partial 16S ribosomal RNA". It matches the Rfam family "Bacterial small subunit ribosomal RNA", at positions 524 to 774 of the family's 1533-position model. The record is from RNAcentral.
UACGUAGGGGGCAAGCGUUAUCCGGAUUUACUGGGUGUAAAGGGAGCGUAGGCGGUUUGGCAAGUCAGAAGUGAAAGCCCGGGGCUCAACUCCGGGACUGCUUUUGAAACUGUUAGACUAGAUUGCAGGAGAGGUAAGUGGAAUUCCUAGUGUAGCGGUGAAAUGCGUAGAUAUUAGGAGGAACACCAGUGGCGAAGGCGGCUUACUGGACUGUGAAUGACGCUGAGGCUCGAAAGCGUGGGGAGCAAACA